UGUCGGUACCAGCCAAUAUUUUCCCCUUUCUCAAAACGUUUGAAUAUUAAGUGCCAUGUGUUUAUAGAAAAUAAUAUAUAUUUUACUUCUACUUUUUUAAAUAUGUUAGAAAAAAUAACCAGAGGAAUUUACAAUCUAUUAAUCAUCAGUUACAGAGUUCCCUUUCAUACAAACGGUGGCACAUUUAGAAAAGGGAACUAACUAGUCUAGUUACCUCCUAUUGCUUAUACAUAUGUGUGUGUGUGUGUGUGUGCUGUGAACGAUGAGUUCUUCUACCCACAGCCUGUGGGGUAUUGAUAUGAUUAAAACAGUUCAGUAAAUGAAGUCGGCUUUAAACUGUCAUCUUUGAAAGGGGAACUUAAACAACAACACCACUGUAGAUAUUUUCGAGAUGUAAAAACCUUCUAAACAUUGCUAAAAGUAUUACGAAGAUUCAAACAUCUUUCUAAUAGACUGCAAGCUUCCAUAUUUGAAACUUUAGCUGAAUUCUCACAUUUGAAAUAUUUUUUCUAUAUUUUUCGAGCAAUGUUUAAAAUAAUAUCUGAACAAGUGUAAUUUGAGAUUUAAGUAUCGAACUAAAACUGUUGUUUUAGGUAGUAAAUUACGAAUUCCCAAUAAUAUUGUUAAAUGUAAAAAUAUAAUUUUAUAAUAAAGAUGUUGCUAAACGAACAAGGUUUGUUAUAAACCACAGUCGUUUGUCGAUCUCGGCUUUUAUCUACUUUCUCUCUCAUACCUACUCACCCACCCACCAGCGGAAUGAAAAAGAGUGUGAGAUACAAGAGAGAUAAAACCACAAACAUUUCACUAGUAGCCAUUUAGGGAGGAUACUAGCUUGGCACUAUACAUAAUAUUAAUAUUCCUAAGAUUAUUUUGCCUUGAGUUUAUGUGUAGUAAACAUAUAAAUUUAUAACAAGAAAAAGACUGAUGAACGAUCUGGAAUUAACAUUAGUCUGAGAAGCGAGAUAAAAAAAUAGCUUUUCUGACACUAACUUUAAUUUGUUUUUUGACUUUUCUUGACUGAAUGACAGUCAUCUCAGACCUGGUUAUGAAGCUGAAGCCGAAGGUCAGGGUUGGGAACUGUCUUACCGAGUGCCCAAAAAUUGUUGGUCCUGCGAAUCAGAAUGCGUGCAGACAGGCCUGCUGCCUCUUGUUCCAAAUUUUUUGCCUUGGCUAACGAGACUUCUUAUCAAGCAACACGAUCUUGAAGAUGUGAAAUAAAAAUUUCAUGUUCAGCAAA
Long non-coding RNA from Pomacea canaliculata, 1237 nucleotides. RefSeq lists it as uncharacterized. NCBI's taxonomy places the organism in Eukaryota, Metazoa, Mollusca, Gastropoda, Architaenioglossa, Ampullariidae. The record is from RefSeq and is a predicted model, not a curated record. The transcript is spliced from 2 exons.